GUCUUGUGAUUGGUCUAGAAGAGCUGCUGGCCCUCUAGAGAGACACCAGCACUGAUUGCAUAGGCCUGACUCAGCUUUUCCUCCUUCUCUGUCCGUGCUUUGCUGGCAAGCUUACUAACAUUGAGUGCAGCUAGGGGAGGAGGGGUUUCUGUUCGGUCAUUAAUUAUUUCCACUUCGGAAACAUACUGUAAGUUUAUGAGCAAGAUGUCUGCAUGGUUGGGCUUUCCAUUGGAAGAGGGACAUUUUAAAGCCAGCAUUUUGGAUUGGUGGUCAAAGGCUACCACCUCGCCCUGCAGCCGCUGCUCCUGGCACGCCCCGCUCCACACCUGGCUCCCAACGCUAUAUACUCGCCGGGAGGAGCCGCCAUCUUGGGAGUGCAGCCGCGGCCGCCCGGCGGCGGCGGCGGCGGCAGCAGCGGGCGAAAGCCGGGCCCCCAGUGAGCGCCGCGCCGCGCCGCCAUUUUGUGGAUUUUUAUCUCAGUUCCAUCACUUUGAACAGUUGGGAUCAACUCAACAAUAUUUAAAGUGGGCUUUGCAGAGCAUCUUGUGGACAAAGUACAAGGGGAAGGAGCCAGACCCUCCCCAUGGCCAUGCUUUCUCUGAAACAGCCCUGAUGACGUACUUUUUCAUGCUGAGGUCUGAACGCUGUUCCAGAAAUUGGCAACAAAUGGGUUUAGCAGACAAAAGUUUUAAAGUUUACAUUCUCGUGAGGAUAAAUGAGGAGAGAUGUUCUAUCAUAAAUGAUCAUCUGAGAGCAGAGUCCAGGAAUUUAAUAGAGAGUGAAAAGAAGACUGAAUGA
This is a long non-coding RNA of Macaca mulatta (Rhesus monkey), 798 nucleotides long. Lineage: Eukaryota; Metazoa; Chordata; Mammalia; Primates; Cercopithecidae. The record is from Ensembl.